UUCUAUAUUCUUCUAUUGGAGAAUUUAUACAUAGAUGUAGUAAUUGCUAUUUUUUUAUGAAGUCCUUACUAUGUGGCAGGCACUGUGCUGACUGGUUUACGCAAACAUUCUUUACUAAUCUCACAACAAACCUGUGAUUGAUGGAAUUACUGUCCCUAUUUUACAGAUAUGGAGACCAGGACUUGGAGAGGCUAAGAAAUACCUUCAAGAUCAAAUAAGGACAGUGACAAGAUUCAUACCCAUCUGCCUGAGUCUUAAGCAUUUUGCUACUUUGAACCUAGGUCCAUCCUGCUCAUCUUUAGAGCCUCGCUGUUCUUUAUCCCCGGUAGCCAGCAGGGUACUGAGCCCUUGGGUUGAGUAUUGAAUCACCCCUAAAAGUUCUCUGAACAGACAUUGAGGAUGCAAUAAAUUGACUGGAACAGUGCUUGGCACUUGAUCUCAGCCACAGACCUUGUGCUCCCAACCCAUGGGCUUCCCAGAGAGACCGCAGAUUGGCUGCCAACACCCUGAAGACAGCAAGGCUGCCCAGUCCCCCAAGGCCUGCCAAGGACAGAUUCUACCUGCAACGUGGACCCAGAGAGUCAUUCUCGAACAAAGGAACCCCAGAGGCCUGAACUUACUCAGAAUUGACUUCUGCGUCCUUCUAUUAUUGGGACUGACAUUUGAAGUCCCCGGCCAGGUCUCCCUGUCAUUUGCCAUCGCCUUUGAAGUGCUUAAGAGCCGAGGUAACUUGGGGUGGCACCUGGGCUCCUGACAGUGACACGGGUGUCUCUGCCGUUUGCUGGGGACGCGUCACUUGCCCCUGCUUUUAUCAUCACUCUUUUUCUUCUCCCUGUUUCGUUUCCCAAGUGAAUUGUCGUCGCCUAGUCUUCUGCCCUUCGUUUCUAAGGGCUGGGGAGGACGUUCUUAUGUGAAUGGCCUUUAACUCAUCCCACUGUUCCCCCAGAGUUGGUAUUUGCAUUAUUUCUCAUUUUUCUCUAAUGUAACAAUCCCUGCAUGAAUAUUCUCAUUCUUUCCCCCUCCCCCAGGCCUAUGAAGGUAUAACUGAUCAGUAAUAAUCAUAUCUCUUUAAGCAGUGCAAUGUGAUAAUUGGACGUGUGUAUACAUUGUGAAAUUAUUCCCACAAUCAAGUUAAUUAACACAUUUGUCACCUCACACCUUUUGGUUGGUGUAAUGAUUGUAGACCUUUUUGCACACCCACAUUUAUCCACAACAAAAUUCUAAAAUAAAAUCGUCUUAAGGCAAAGGGUAUGGACUUUA
Molecule: long non-coding RNA, 1260 nt
Filed under: Bos indicus x Bos taurus (hybrid cattle)
Lineage: Eukaryota; Metazoa; Chordata; Mammalia; Artiodactyla; Bovidae
Description: lncRNA (ENSBIXG00005012878.1)
Source: RNAcentral